Molecule: ribosomal RNA, 476 nt
Filed under: uncultured bacterium
Lineage: Bacteria
Description: bacterial SSU rRNA
Rfam family: Bacterial small subunit ribosomal RNA
Source: RNAcentral
UGAAGUAUUUCGGUAUGUAAACUUCUAUCAGCAGGGAAGAAAAUGACGGUACCUGACUAAGAAGCCCCGGCUAACUACGUGCCAGCAGCCGCGGUAAUACGUAGGGGGCAAGCGUUAUCCGGAUUUACUGGGUGUAAAGGGAGCGUAGACGGCUGGGCAAGUCUGAUGUGAAAGGCCUGGGCUCAACCCGUGGACUGCUUUGGAAACUGUGCAGCUAGAGUGUCGGAGAGGUAAGUGGAAUUCCUAGUGUAGCGGUGAAAUGCGUAGAUAUUAGGAGGAACACCAGUGGCGAAGGCGGCUUACUGGACGAUGACUGACGUUGAGGCUCGAAAGCGUGGGGAGCAAACAGGAUUAGAUACCCUGGUAGUCCACGCCGUAAACGAUGACUGCUAGGUGUCGGGUAGCAAAGCUAUUCGGUGCCGCAGCUAACGCAAUAAGUAGUCCACCUGGGGAGUACGUUCGCAAGAAUGAAACUC